This 255-nucleotide ribosomal RNA is filed under the name uncultured bacterium. RNAcentral describes it as "partial 16S ribosomal RNA". It matches the Rfam family "Bacterial small subunit ribosomal RNA", at positions 264 to 529 of the family's 1533-position model. The record is from RNAcentral.
ANUACCAAGGCNGCNACGGGUAUCCGGCCUGAGAGGGUGGACGGNCACAUUGGGACUGAGAUACGGCCCAGACUCCUACGGGAGGCAGCAGUGGGGAAUAUUGCACAAUGGGCGCAAGCCUGAUGCAGCGACGCCGCGUGGGGGAUGAAGGCCUUCGGGUUGUAAACUCCUUUCGCUAUCGACGAAGCCUUCGGGUGACGGUAGGUAGAUAAGAAGCACCGGCUAACUACGUGCCAGCAGCCGCGGUAAUACACA